RNAcentral lists this ribosomal RNA (356 nucleotides) under uncultured bacterium. RNAcentral describes it as "bacterial SSU rRNA". It matches the Rfam family "Bacterial small subunit ribosomal RNA", at positions 540 to 896 of the family's 1533-position model. The record is from RNAcentral.
GUUAUCCGGAUUUAUUGGGCGUAAAGCGUUUCGUARARWRRUUAAGAAAGUUGUACUUCAAAGACRUAGGGCUCAACCUUAGAAAGGGGUGCAAUACUACUUAACUUGAAAUAUUUCGGGGUUUUCGGAACUGUCGGUGUAGGAGUGAAAUCCGUUGAUAUCGACAGGAACACCAAGGGCGAAGGCAGAAAACUAGGAAUUUUUUGACACUGAGGAACGACAGCUAGGGGAGCGAAAGGGAUUAGAGACCCCUGUAGUCCUAGCCGUAAACUAUGCUCGCUAGUCGUCAUGAUUUAUCAUGGUGACGUAAGCUAACGCGUGAAGCGAGCCKCCUGGGGAGUACGGCCGCAAGGCUA